AUUGAACGCUGGCGGCAGGCCUAACACAUGCAAGUCGAACGAGUGGCGGACGGGUGAGCAAUGUCUGGGAACCUGCCUGAUGGAGGGGGCUAACUACUGGAAACGGUAGAUAAUACCGCAUAACAUCAGCUGUGCCCAGAUGGGCUUAGCUAGUUGGUGGGGUAACGGCACACCAAGGCGACGAUCCCUAGCUGGCCUGCGAGGAUGACCAGCCACACUGGAACUGAGACACGGUCCAGACUCCGACGGGAGGCAGCAGUGGGGAAUAUUGCACAAUGGGCGAAAGCCUGAUGCAGCCAGGCCGCGGGGAUGAAGAAGGCCUUCGGGUUUUAAAGUACUGUCAGCGGGGAGGCGUUACCCGCAGAAGAAGCACCGGCUAACUCCGUGCCAGCAGCCGCGGUAAUAC
Molecule: ribosomal RNA, 406 nt
Filed under: uncultured bacterium
Lineage: Bacteria
Description: partial 16S ribosomal RNA
Rfam family: Bacterial small subunit ribosomal RNA
Source: RNAcentral